RNAcentral lists this long non-coding RNA (5206 nucleotides) under Sus scrofa (pig). RNAcentral describes it as "lncRNA (ENSSSCG00000052528.1)". Lineage: Eukaryota; Metazoa; Chordata; Mammalia; Artiodactyla; Suidae. The record is from RNAcentral.
UUGCCUAUCUUCGUUGCCCCCUGGAAGACUCACCAGCAUCUCAAAUUUCACGUGUCCUUGGCUCACCUUUAUUACCCUUUAAUCACAAGCGUUGGUGGCUUCUGUCCAUGAGAGGUAGCUAGCUUUCUUCCACAUCAUAGCCACUGUGUGGCCUUUUCGAGAGGAAACGAGACUCAGUUCUGCCUCAGGCGGGAGCGCUAUGAGCAGCAGGUCACAGAGGGCCAUUCAACCUGCACUUGAUGAAGCCCGGACUUUCUGCUAUUCUUUUCGGUUUGCUGAAGAUGAAUGUAGCCAUAUUCAGGGCAGGAUUGAGUGACUCUUCUUUCCAUGAAAGGUUUGCUUAAGAUGAAUGUAGCCAUAUUCAGGGCAGGAUUUAGUGACUCUUCUUCUUUUAUUCUCUUUUUUACUUAAAAAAAAAUUGAAGUGCAGUUGAUUUACAACAUUGUGCCAAUCUUCCACCAUGUUUUAUCACAGCGAUUGGAUGUAGUUCCCUGUGCUAUACAGCAGGACCUCAUUGCAUUUCCAGGUAUGGGUUGUUUUUGUGUUGUUUCGGAUGGCUAUGGCACUCCUGUUUGAAUGGAUUUUUGCAUUUUUCCAUGGGUUGCCUCAAGAAAUUAGUUUAGCAGGAUAUUGCCUUGACUAGCAUGUAACCGCUCUCAUGAUUCCUGGAAAUAGUUGAAGCCAGGGAGAGGUGUGGCCAGCCCAGCCACCUUGUUAGUUUUCUCCCCACAAAAUGCUUAGACUAGCAGGUUAAUUAAGAGGAAUGUUAACUUUUUCACUCGGUUUUCCCCUUAUAUAUAUUCCUGUUCACAGGGCUCAGGGUUAUUAACUUAGUGGAGAGACAAGUACAGAAGACAAAUUCCUAACUUUGGACUUCCAACAGUUCCAAAACUUUCUUGAUGUCGAUGGCACAGUGAAGGAUUUAAAUUGCAGAAGUCUGAGUUCCCGUCAUGGCUCAGUGGACAUGAAUCUGACUAGUAUCCAUGAGGACGCAGGUUCGAUCCCUGGCCUAGCUCAGUGGGUUAAGGAUCCAGUGUUGCUGUGAGCAGUGGUGUAGGUCACAGCUACAGCUCCGAUUUGACCCCUGGCCUGGGAACCUCCAUAUGCCAUGGGUGCAGCCUUAAAAAAAUAAAAUAAAAUAAAUUGCAGAAGUCCAGGUUUUUUGGAAGAGAGGAGGUAUUUUGAGUGGCUAAGAGACUGAGAGAUUCAUAGCACAAGUUCAUGUGAUAGAUAAUAAACUUGGAAAGACAGCAGGUGGGUGAUCGGUAGGGAGAUGGUGGGAGGAGCUGAUAUGAUUCUAGGAGAAGGAACGCCCCUUCCAGCAUCCAUCAUGGACUAGUAGCAGUAACACUACCAAACACAUCUAAGCCAAGCAUUGUUCUAAGAGCAUUAUAUAUGUUAAUUCAUUGAUCCUUCUCAACAAGCUUAUGAGCUCUCAUUUUGCAGAUGAGAAGGCAGGCACAGAAGGGCAAAUGAUGGGCCCAAAGUCACACCAUCAGUAAGUGGCACAGCCGAGUGUUUGCACAGGCAGUCUGGCCCUAGAGUCCUUGUUUAGCAAUGACCUAGCCCUGGCUGAGGAUGAUAGAGAGCUCAGCUUGGUCGGGGGGGCGGGGGAGGGGGGGCAAGAGCACGCAAGACCUGUGUCUUGCUGCCUGGGUGAAAUCUGAGCGUGCAGCAAACCCUCUGGACACGUUGGAACAGCAGCAAAGUAGUGGUAGUGCUGGGCCAGUCUAGGCAAGGAGGGAUCUAACAGUUUGAGCCUCCUGCAGCCCAGAGAAGGGCCCACAGGAACGUUUAUUGUCCCUGAGAGGAUGGUGGACAAGGCUGAGAGAAGUUGAGAUGAGGGUUGACUGUCAACAAGAGAAGCACCAAAAAGCCAAGGGUCAUAAUGGACCUGGGCACAAGGGCUGGGGGUAUGCUGGGAGAUAGAGAUCGGCAGGCAGAGGUGCCCUCAUGGGUGCCCAGUGGAGAAGCUGCCCCGAUAUCAAGUGCCAGGACACUUGCAAAAUCAUCUUGAGAGAUGCAAAGGAGAGGGUGACGUUCUGACAUUGUCUGAUUUUAUCUAUGAAAUGAUUGAAGAAUCACUCAUUUGAAUUAAAUUAGAGAUUGACUUUACUGCUCUAGAGCUUGUGAUUGAAGUCAAAUUCAAUGAUAGGAAAAGUAAAGGCUGUAUUUUUGCGCCUUUGCGCACUGGCUUGUGUGUCAUUCUACUGCAGUCAUACCCAUUCAACACAGGAAGCCCCCUUAUGAACUUUCUGUCACUUUUUUUUUCUUUUUUGUCUUUUUAGGGCCGUACCCAGGACAUAUGGAGGCUCCCAGGCUAGGGGUCGCCAGCCUAUACCAUAGCCACAGCAAUGCUAGAUCCGAGCUGUGUCUGCGACCUACACCACAGCUCACAGCAAUGCUGGAUCCUUAACCCACUGAGAGAGGCCAGGUAUCGAACCUGCAUCCUCAUGGAUACCAGUCAGAUUCAUUUCUGCUGAGCCACAACAGGAAUUCCCUUUCUGUCAUGUUUUCAAAUAGAAAGUGCCCCGUCUUGGGCCUCCUUGAUGAGAUGGACUCUGGAUCCCUCGCUUCACAUUUCUAGUGCAGGCACAACUCCUUGAAAAGCAAUUUCCACUCGAUUUCAUUUACUUUUCCAUGGGUCGGCAGCAGUUAAGGGAAAUGAAGGACAUUUCGGUGCCGGUGUUGUAUUGGUUACCGAUACCAAAUUAUUUCUGGAUUAGAAACACUGUGGUUCACAUUGUGGCAGUAAAAGUACUUUGCACCCCGUUUACAGAUGAGGCCGAUGGGUCUGUUUAUAGACUUGUAUCCCCUAGAGUGUCUUGUAAGUCUGUGAGUUGUUCCCAAGUGCUCUAUCUUACAUUUGGACCCCCGAGAGAGCUGGAAAAGCAAAUGAACAAAGGCACACACAUGCACAGAGGUACCUGGUUAAUUACGCAUCACAGAACUAGACCGGCUCCACGUCUUUUUCUGUUUCUCUCAAAGGUUUUUUUUUUUGGUUGAAUUUUUGUCAGAGACACCAAAAGAGCUUAUAUUUUCUGAAUAGAAAUAAGAGGUGAACAAAAUACCUCCAUAAGAAUUGUUUGGCUUUGAAAAGACGUUUCAAUGGUCAAAGUGGGUUUGAGAUGGGCUCCUAAGCAAAGAACAACCAGAUUUUUUUUUUAUCCCUGCUGUGAUCCUUUGAUAUUUAUUGAGACUCAUCAAUGCAAAUAGCUCUAUUUGGGGUUUAAACACAUCAUUACGUCUUAGUUUCGUUACUGGGAAAUAGGUGUAUGUGAAGUCUUUUCUGCCCAAAUGCUCUUGGUGCUGCCUGCGAGCGAGGGGAGCCUCCGCCUUGUUCUGUGACCCUAUGCUUCAGUUUCCUCCUUGUUGUUAAAAUGGAGGUAAUCUCUGCCACAGACACAUAUCGUGGAGAUGGUCGGGUAAUUUGUGAGUUAUUACCCGAAAAGAGCUUUAAGUGUCUCAGGAGAAAAGAAAGAUAACAGGCCGGCCAGGGUUCCUUUCCCUAGGGGAGGUUUCACCACCUAACUGGCCUCCCAGGAACAUCCACUUGGGGCAGGAAGUAGUGUCUCUGAACAGAGCUCCCAUUUUCCACUGCCUCCUCUCCCCUCACACAUGAAGCUGCAGGAUCCAGGAGGUGCAGGCCCCCAGCCUGUGACAUAAUCUCAGUGUUUUCGUUCCCCUGUCUGUCAGUCUGGAAAAGGUAAUUCACAGGCUUGCCAUAUGGGGUGAGUCACCGGGGUGAUCGCAGAGCCCAGUGCCGAUAAGAAGCAAAAAAAAAGGCACACUGACAUGAAGGCUAAUAUGCAAGCACAUGCAUUUUGAAUGUAGAGAUAGAGGUAUUUGUCUGUUCAACUCUUGAUUUGCAGGAAAUGAGUGUGUUGGCUGAAUGAAAGCCGUCUAUAACUCUUAAGACAACAGCUGUGAGAUACUUAAAAACAUAUGCUGCUCCACAUUUUGUCGGCUUGACACCGCCAGAUUGAAGAUUUAAAAUGAGUUUCAAAGAAUUUCCAUGGUCUUGCAUAUUGUGAAGUGUUAUCAUAAAGGACACAAUUAUUAACUGUCGGUUUUGCCAAGCCACCUCUGUGACUUGCCUGCCAUGGAAGAUCCAACCCAAAGAACCGCAUGUCCAGUGGGUGACCAGAGGUUUCCUGGAGGUGUAAGGGUGCCUUCAGUCUAUAGCAGUGGCCACUGUAGACAACCCCCCCCCCACCCCACCAAAGCUGGAUCUGAGCAUUGUAAAUUUCAUAGACCAUGGCUCGUUCUCAAUCUCUUUUUGGGGUUAUAAAGACAGUGAUAUUUUCUCCAUUCUUUUUCUUAAGAGUUGGGGUACACAUUGUCUGCAUGCGGGGGAGCUAGUCAAUACUUGAAUGUUAUGGUUACCUAGUAAAUCCUGACGUACACACAACCCUUGAUAAAGAAGAGGCACAAAUGGGUGUUUCCUUCCCCUGGCACUUCCGCAUUCCCCUCGAGUAAAGCCCCCACAUCAUCGAUGAAGAUAUUUUUAUCCCCUACGUAGGAGUAUGUCUGACACAUCAUUGGAAUAUGUCUGACACAUCAUCAGAGUUCCAAAAUAACUUGCUUUUUUGGUUAGUAUGAGAUGGAGAUUCUGUGAGAGGAGACUCUGGGAGGCCAAAGUCGCCCCUGGAAAGUCCAGGCCACUCCUGCCAGGGUGUCCUUGUUGGAGAGCUCCAGCCCUGAGCCUAAUCAGUCAAUCAUGGUGACAUUGUCCAGCAAGGAAAUGAAAUGAUAAAGGAGGAGGCAGAGGAGCAGGUUAACUGGGACUAACGCUGACAUCAAGAUGUGAACCACUGAGAAGGUGGGGAGAAGACCCUGGAGACUGAACGCCAAAAUGGGGGGGAGACAUGGGUACAGGGUAGAAGCAGCCCAAUGAAAGAAACAUGGCCAUUGGUUGGAGAGGGAGAUGGAAAUAGAAAUAGCGGACAGGAACUAAACUCAAAAGUAAAAUAGGAGUUCCCAUUGUGCCACAGGGGAAAUUAAUCUGACUAGGAACCAUGAGGUUGUGGGUUUGAUCCCUGGCCUUGCUCAGUGGGUUAAGGAUCCGGCGUUGUGGUGAGCUAUGGUGUAGGUCAUAGACAUGGCUCAGAUCUGGUGUUGCUGUGGCUGUGGCUCUGGCAUAGGCUGGCGGCUGUAGCUCCGAUUAGACCCCUAGCCUGGGAACCUCCAUAUGCCGCAGGUGCAG